This 318-nucleotide unclassified non-coding RNA is filed under the name Hevea brasiliensis (rubber tree). The record is from RNAcentral. Lineage: Eukaryota; Viridiplantae; Streptophyta; Magnoliopsida; Malpighiales; Euphorbiaceae.
CCAUUAACCCUAACAAUGGUCUCCUCCUCUCAAGAGAAACCAAUCGACCCAUCACAAUUCUUCACAAAUUUCUCCGCAACCCAACAACUCCUCCCUCCAAAUACCACGACGACCACCACUACACCCGCCACUGUUACCGCCCGCAAAACUCAAGAACUCCUCCUCUCUCUCAACAAGCCCCACUCUAAGGACCGCCACAAGAAGGUGGAAGGCCGUGGCACCCGUGUACGUAUCCCGGCGGACUGUGCAGCACGUAUCUUCCAACUGACCCGGGAGCUCGGCCACCGCACCAGUGGCCAGACCAUUGAGUGGCUUCUC